GUGGGGAAUUUUGGACAAUGGGCGCAAGCCUGAUCCAGCAAUGCCGCGUGCAGGAAGAAGGCCUUCGGGUUGUAAACUGCUUUUGUACGGAACGAAACGGUCCUGGCUAAUAUCCGGGGCUAAUGACGGUACCGUAAGAAUAAGCACCGGCUAACUACGUGCCAGCAGCCGCGGUAAUACGUAGGGUGCGAGCGUUAAUCGGAAUUACUGGGCGUAAAGCGUGCGCAGGCGGUGCUGUAAGACAGGCGUGAAAUACCCGGGCUCAACCUGGGAAGUGCGGUUGUGACUGCAGUGCUGGAGUGCGGCAGAGGGGGAUGGAAUACCGCGUGUAGCAGUGAAAUGCGUAGAUAUGCGGAGGAACACCGAUGGCGAAGGCAAUCCCCUGGGCCUGCACUGACGCUCAUGCACGAAAGCGUGGGGAGCAAACAGGAUUAGAAACCCUAGUAGUCC
This 450-nucleotide ribosomal RNA is filed under the name uncultured bacterium. Its description in RNAcentral is "partial 16S ribosomal RNA". It matches the Rfam family "Bacterial small subunit ribosomal RNA", at positions 354 to 796 of the family's 1533-position model. The record is from RNAcentral.